AACCCAUUUUGAGGACAAUUUCGCAGGAUUUCAUUGAACCUUUCCCAUGUCUCGAAUAGAGACUCCAAUUCCAUUUGCACAAAGGACAAGAUCUUAUUCCUAAGCUU
Small nucleolar RNA from Dioscorea cayenensis subsp. rotundata (Guinea yam), 107 nucleotides. The record is from RefSeq and is a predicted model, not a curated record. NCBI's taxonomy places the organism in Eukaryota, Viridiplantae, Streptophyta, Magnoliopsida, Dioscoreales, Dioscoreaceae.